GACGAACGCUGGCGGCGUGCUUAACACAUGCAAGUCGAACGGAAAGGCCCUGCUUUUGUGGGGUGCUCGAGUGGCGAACGGGUGAGUAACACGUGAGUAACCUGCCCUUGACUUUGGGAUAACUUCAGGAAACUGGGGCUAAUACCGGAUAGGAGCUCCUGCUGCAUGGUGGGGGUUGGAAAGUUUCGGCGGUUGGGGAUGGACUCGCGGCUUAUCAGCUUGUUGGUGGGGUAGUGGCUUACCAAGGCUUUGACGGGUAGCCGGCCUGAGAGGGUGACCGGGCACAUUGGGACUGAGAUACGGCCCAGACUCGUACGGGAGGCAGAAGUGGGGAAUAUGGCACAAUGGGCGGAAGCCUGAUGCAGCAACGCCGCGUGCGGGAUGACGGCCUUCGGGGUGUAAACCGCUGUCGCCUGUGACGAAGCGUUAGUGACGGUAAUGGGUAAAGAAGCACCGGCUAACUACGUG
This 468-nucleotide ribosomal RNA is filed under the name uncultured bacterium. Its description in RNAcentral is "partial 16S ribosomal RNA". It matches the Rfam family "Bacterial small subunit ribosomal RNA", at positions 28 to 507 of the family's 1533-position model. The record is from RNAcentral.